RNAcentral lists this ribosomal RNA (465 nucleotides) under uncultured bacterium. Its description in RNAcentral is "partial 16S ribosomal RNA". It matches the Rfam family "Bacterial small subunit ribosomal RNA", at positions 338 to 795 of the family's 1533-position model. The record is from RNAcentral.
CCUACGGGAGGCAACAGUGGGGAAUAUUGCGCAAUGGGCGAAAGCCUGACGCAGCGACGCCGCGUGAGGGAUGAAGGUCUUCGGAUCGGAAACCUCUGUCAGCAGGGAAGAAAGGUCACUGUGCUAAUCAGCAGUGAAUUGACGGUACCUGCAAAGGAAGCACCGGCCAACUCCGGGCCAGCAGCCGCGGUAAUACGGAGGGUGCGUGCGUUAAUCGGUAUUACUGGGCGUGAAGCGCGCGUAGGCGGUAUGUCAAGUCAAGGGUGAAAUCCCCGCGCUCAACGUGGGAACUGCCUUUGAAACUGGCAGACUGGAGUGUGGGAGAGGAAAGUGGAAUGCCAGGUGUAGGAGUGAAAUGCUUAGAUAUCUGGAAGAACAUCGGUGGCGAAGGCGACUAUCUGGCACAUAACUGACGCUGAGGAGCGAAAGCGUGGGUAGCAAACAGGAUUAGAUACCCCAGUAGUC